UUCACCUCAUCCCCUCUAACCCACACCUCAUCCCCUCUAACCCAAUGCGCAAUCACACGGGCCUAAGAUCCGGAUUAAUGACCCGCAUAUAUUUUUUUCCCAACAAUCACUUUUCCCUAUGAAAACACAAUUGGGUUUUUUUCUUCAUCGCCGUCACCAGAAACCCUAACACUUCCCAUGCUUCCUUUCCAUCAUAUAAUUAAGAUUUUUUUUUAUCAUCAAAUUCUCUUUUUCUUGAUCUUCGUUUGAAAGCAAGACCAAUGGGAAUAGCUGCUGGAAGUUCUAAUGGAUUCUCAUCACCACUAAUUCUAAAAGAUCGAUUUUAAUUUCUUCAUAUUUGGGACAACAAAUCUGCCCUUGAAACAAUACAUAAGGAAAUGUACAUAAUAGAAGGUCAGAUGGAGGCGUUUAGGACCAGAAGAACGUUUGCGGGAAAGGCGACAUCAACUUCUGGAUCAGAGAUGGAUGAUGACAUAGUGAAUAUAUGGAAUCUCAAAGGCUCAAAAAGUGUAGUGUUGCUGCCUUGGAUAUGAUCUCUAAUGUGUUUGGUAAUGAGAUUUUUUCAGCUUUAAUGCCUUUUGUCGAGGUAAUUGUGUUUGGAUAUAAUCUCUAAGUAAGCUUAUUAUUUGCAACUGAUUUACGAUUGUGUCAUGAGAAAUCAUGUAAUGUUAUGGUAUGUGUAGUCCAAGUUAUCUUUAUUAGAUGAUGCAAGUUGUAAAGAGAGGGAGGGUGCAAUUUUAGCUCUUGGUGGCAUUGCUGAGAGUUGCAUUAAUUGUCUUUACCCUCAUUUUUCAUAGGUUAGCUCUAUAUUUUAAUGUUAAGUUUCUUGUGUUUAUAAAAGGAACUACACAGAUGUUGGAAACCCAAUAUAAUUAUUGAAUUGGUAAGUUACUUCAUAAGUGGUGAUGAUAAAAGUGCUACAACUUUGACCAUUUUUCUUUGGCUUGGUAAGUGAUCCUCAAUACUUUAAUGCAAUAUCCAUGUUUAAAGUGAAAUCUUCACUACACCUAGGCAUAUAUCUGCUGAGAAGGGGCAAGUACGCACACAUAAUGUUCAUUUUGAUUUUGAUUCUAUAUAUCGUAGUUAUUUGUUUACAAUUGUAUUUUUUGUUGGAUUCUCUCUAUAUUGUUGUAGUGCUUUGAUUUGAAUUGUGUUUGAUAAUUGGUUUCUUUAGCUUUUCGAUAUUUGAGAUUUAUGGUUUCUGUUUUCUAUAUCAUUUUUUUGUUUUACCUUUUUGUUAAAACAUUACUAGAAAACUUAAAUGCGUUCAUAUUGUUCUAUAGAAUUCGGAACCUUAGUUUCGAUAUAAAUCAUGCGUUUAUUGGUAUUAUUUAAGCAGUUUAUUUUGUUUCUUUUUUGUAUGUAUGGCUCUCUGUGUCUCUAUUAACUCUCUAUUAGCCUUAAUAUAUCACUCAUGAUUUUAUUGAUCUUGACACUUUUGGCAGUGAUGCAUAAAGCACUUUUGUUGUAUGUAAUUAUAGGAAGGAUGUAAACGUUGAUGCUAUUUUGAACUUUUAUGUUUUGUUUAUGGACUAAAAUGAGAAUGAUCGUUAUUGUUUAAAAUGUGAAGGAUUUUGUAGUAAAGUUUAAUAGGAUAUUCUUUAACUAGAGUAAAUUGCAAUUUUAGUCCUUGUGUAUUUGUCCAAAUUUUUAUUUUAAUCCAAAUAGUUUUUUUUCCUCAUCUGGGUCCCUGACUUUUCCUUUUUCUUACCAUUUUGAUCACAUUGUCUAACUUAGUCUAAAAAUCAGGUUAUAAUCAGAGAUAUUUUUGGCAUUAAAUUAUUAUGAGAUUUAUAAAUUAUGUUGUAAACUACUCCUGGUUAUCACUACACAACAGUUAUGCCAAAAAUAUCACUGGUUAUAACCAGAUUUUUAGACUGAGUUAGGCAAUGUGAUCAUAAUGACAAGAAAAUUGAAACGUCAGGGACCCAGAGGAGGAAAAAAAGUAUUUGGACUAAAAUGGUAAGUUGGACCAAACCUCAAGGACUAAAAUGGCAAUUUACCCUUAACUUUUUGUGAUUCUGGCUAAAAGACUUGACUUAUGCAUUGUUUUUGCAAUUUUUGGUAGUAAGAUCUGUGAACUUCAAUUUAGGGGGUGUUUGUUUUUUGUGAGAAGCUCUUCCUGACCACUUCUGUCUGCGCCAAGAAGACCAAGGGCAGACAUAGAGGUCGAAAGUGCGUUUGUUUUUCGGACGCGUCCUCUUCUUGGAGAAGACAUGGACCAGCCACUUCAAACCUCUUCAAACCUCUUCUCAACCAUCUGCACAUUCUUUCAUCUUCAUCAAAGGCACGACAGAAGUAGGGGGAGGACGGUGACAACUCCGGCGACGGCGCCGCCGCUCACGGCGGUGACAGUGGAAUUCCGACGUGUUUUUUCCGGCGGAACCAGGGUAUACCCCCCCCUAAAACACCCCUUCCGAGCAUGAAUUUAAAGUCGGUUUCUCCGAUUGAAGUGCGGUAGUGGUGGUUCUGAUGUACGGCAGCCGCGAUUCUUGAUGUUUUAGUCCGGUGGUGGUUCACGGAGGUAGCAGAUGCAGCAGUGAUGGUGGUUCACGACGGCGGUAAAACCCGCCGGAAUCGAUGGUGGUGUUUCAGUGGUGGUUGUGACUCGAGCAGCGGCGGAUGGUCGACAAGCCGUUUACUGGCGACCGGAACCCGAUGGCACGGUGGUGUCGGGUUUUUGGUUCAAGUUUGGGUCGUUCCGGUCAGGCUUAGUUUUGUGGUGGUGGUGGUGGUAGAUGAAGGGUUCAGAGAAGAAGUUGAGGAGAAGUGAAAAGAGGAGAGUGGUGGUUCUGAGAAGUGAAAAGAGGAGAGAUGGGUCUUAAACAAACACUCUUCUCCUUGCAGACUGCAGUCUUUUGGUCCACCUCUUCUCCUGCAGAUGCCUGCAGAUGUGGUCCGCAGACUGCAGACCUCUUACCUCUUCAAAAACAAACACCACCUUAGUCUUUUAGAUCAUGUGGUUUUCGUUUGAUCUUUGCGGGUCAAACUUGCAUGUACGAUUUACUUAUUUUGAUUUAAGUGACAACAACAACAUAUUUAUGUUUUCUUUCUA
Molecule: long non-coding RNA, 3055 nt
Organism: Helianthus annuus (common sunflower)
Lineage: Eukaryota; Viridiplantae; Streptophyta; Magnoliopsida; Asterales; Asteraceae
Exons: 4
Source: RefSeq, a predicted model, not a curated record